CAGUGUUGUCCACCUGGUUUAAAUCUCUGUCUGUUUGUCUCCUCUCUUCUCUGCAGGUCAUCAGAGCAGUGCUGGUGUCUCCUGUCCAUAUCAGACACAGUGUUGUCCACCUGGUUUAAAUCUCUGUCUGUUUGUCUCCUCUCUUCUCUGCAGGUCAUCAGAGCAGUGCUGGUGUCUCCUGUCCAUAUCAGACACAGUGUUGUCCACCUGGUUUAAAUCUCUGUCAGAUGCAUUGUGUAUUCUAUUUCCUGUCAGUGAUGUUAUCCAGGUGGAGUAUUCUAUAUCCUGUCAGUGAUGUUAUCCAGGUAGAGUAUUCUAUAUCCUGUCAGUGAUGUUGUAUUCUAUAUCCUGUCAGUGAUGUUAUCCAGGUAGAGUAUUCUAUAUCCUGUCAGUGAUGUUGUCCAGGUAGAGUAUUCUAUUUCCUGUCAGUGAUAUUGUAUUCUAUAUCCUGUCAGUGAUGUUGUCCAGGUAGAGUAUUCUAUUUCCUGUCAGUGAUAUUGUAUUCUAUAUCCUGUCAGUGAUGUUGUCCAGGUAGAGUAUUCUAUAUCCUGUCAGGGAUGUUAUCCAGGUAGAGUAUUCUAUAUCCUGUCAGUGAUGUUGUAUUCUAUAUCCUGUCAGUGAUGUUAUCCAGGUAGAGUAUUCUAUAUCCUGUCAGUGAUGUUGUCCAGGUAGAGUAUUCUAUUUCCUGUCAGUGAUGUUGUAUUCUAUUUCCUGUCAGUGAUGUUGUCCAGGUAGAGUAUUCUAUUUCCUGUCAGUGAUGUUAUCCAGGUAGAGUAUUCUAUAUCCUGUCAGUGAUGUUAUCCAGGUAGAGUAUUCUAUAUCCUGUCAGGGAUGUUGUCCAGGUAGAGUAUUCUAUAUCCUGUCAGUGAUGUUAUCCAGGUAGAGUAUUCUAUAUCCUGUCAGUGAUGUUAUCCAGGUAGAGUAUUCUAUAUCCUGUCAGUGAUGUUAUCCAGGUAGAGUAUUCUAUAUCCUGUCAGUGAUGUUAUCCAGGUAGAGUAUUCUAUAUCCUGUCAGGGAUGUUGUCCAGGUAGAGUAUUCUAUAUCCUGUCAGUGAUGUUGUCCAGGUAGAGUAUUCUAUAUCCUGUCAGGGAUGUUGUAUUCUAUAUCCUGUCAGUGAUGUUGUCCAGGUAGAGUAUUCUAUAUCCUGUCAGUGAUGUUGUCCCUAAUGGAAAGGCAUGUCAGAGCCCUGUCCUCCAGUGAGUCAUGUUUUCUCAUCUUUUCCAUUGUGAAUUUCAUCCGUUUCUCCUCUCAGAGGUAAAAGACAGUGAUGGUGUUUUCUAUCCGAUGCUUGUUAGCUGAGGAGGUCUCCAGCGGUCGGAGGAUGGUAUACCGCGGGGUGUUUCAGGAAGCGUCAUACAGCAAAGGACUGCUCAUCUUUC
This 1379-nucleotide long non-coding RNA is filed under the name Salmo salar (Atlantic salmon). Its description in RNAcentral is "lncRNA (ENSSSAG00000093300.1)". The record is from RNAcentral. Lineage: Eukaryota; Metazoa; Chordata; Actinopteri; Salmoniformes; Salmonidae.